AUGCUUACCUGGCAGAGGAGAUAACAUGAUCACAAAGGUGGUUUUUCAGAGCAAGGCUUAUCCAUUGUACUCGAGAUGUGUUGACCCCUGUGAUUUCCCCAAAUGUGGGAAACCCAACUGCAUAAUCUGUGAUAGUGGGGGACUGCAUUCAUGCUUUCCCCUG
Molecule: small nuclear RNA, 163 nt
Organism: Cebus imitator (Panamanian white-faced capuchin)
Lineage: Eukaryota; Metazoa; Chordata; Mammalia; Primates; Cebidae
Gene: U1
Rfam family: U1 spliceosomal RNA
About the family: U1 is a small nuclear RNA (snRNA) component of the spliceosome (involved in pre-mRNA splicing). Its 5' end forms complementary base pairs with the 5' splice junction, thus defining the 5' donor site of an intron.
Source: Ensembl